RNAcentral lists this ribosomal RNA (466 nucleotides) under uncultured bacterium. RNAcentral describes it as "partial 16S ribosomal RNA". It matches the Rfam family "Bacterial small subunit ribosomal RNA", at positions 28 to 506 of the family's 1533-position model. The record is from RNAcentral.
GAUGAACGCUGACAGAAUGCUUAACACAUGCAAGUCAACUUGAAUUUGGGUUUUUAACUUAGGUUUGGGUGGCGGACGGGUGAGUAACGCGUAAAGAACUUGCCUCACAGCUAGGGACAACAUUUGGAAACGAAUGCUAAUACCUAAUAUUAUGAUAAUAGGGCAUCCUAUAAUUAUGAAAGCUAUAAGCGCUGUGAGAGAGCUUUGCGUCCCAUUAGCUAGUUGGAGAGGUAACGGCUCACCAAGGCGAUGAUGGGUAGCCGGCCUGAGAGGGUGAUCGGCCACAAGGGGACUGAGACACGGCCCUUACUCCUACGGGAGGCAGCAGUGGGGAAUAUUGGACAAUGGACCGAGAGUCUGAUCCAGCAAUUCUGUGUGCACGAUGAAGUUUUUCGGAAUGUAAAGUGCUUUCAGUUGGGAAGAAACAAAUGACGGUACCAACAGAAGAAGGGACGGCUAAAUACGU